UCCGCCAUAAAAUUGAUGUAA
RNAcentral lists this non-coding RNA (21 nucleotides) under Caenorhabditis elegans. The record is from RNAcentral. Lineage: Eukaryota; Metazoa; Nematoda; Chromadorea; Rhabditida; Rhabditidae.